GUGUAUACUUCCUUCAUGAAGUCUCAUCGCUGCUAUGACCUGAUUCCCACAAGCUCCAAAUUGGUUGUAUUUGAUACGUCCCUGCAGGUGGGUGAAAUCCUCUUUUCCCUUCCCCCUUUGGAGCCUGUGGUUUAAUACCUCUCAUCCUAUCUCAUCCUAAGGGUAAUAUCCUUAUCCUUCUGUGAAGUUAGUCUCAUGUUUUACCCAACAUGCCCAAACACUGUUCUUUUUUUACAGUCCUGCCCCUGUGGAUUUGCCUUUAUGAUUAUUACUGUCUUGGCUACAGGUGAAGAAAGCUUUUUUUGCUUUGGUGACUAACGGUGUACGAGCUGCCCCUUUAUGGGAUAGUAAGAAGCAAAGUUUUGUGGGCAUGCUGACCAUCACUGAUUUCAUCAAUAUCCUGCACCGCUACUAUAAAUCAGCCUUGGUACAGAUCUAUGAGCUAGAAGAACACAAGAUAGAAACUUGGAGAGAGGUGUAUCUCCAGGACUCCUUUAAACCGCUUGUCUGCAUUUCUCCUAAUGCCAGCUUGUUUGAUGCUGUCUCUUCAUUAAUUCGGAACAAGAUCCACAGGCUGCCAGUUAUUGACCCAGAAUCAGGCAAUACUUUGUACAUCCUCACCCACAAGCGCAUUCUGAAGUUCCUCAAAUUGUUUAUCACUGAGUUCCCCAAGCCAGAGUUCAUGUCCAAGUCUCUGGAAGAGCUACAGAUUGGCACCUAUGCCAAUAUUGCUAUGGUUCGCACUACCACCCCCGUCUAUGUGGCUCUGGGGAUUUUUGUACAGCAUCGAGUCUCAGCCCUGCCAGUGGUGGAUGA
This 816-nucleotide small RNA is filed under the name Pan troglodytes (chimpanzee). Its description in RNAcentral is "retained intron". Lineage: Eukaryota; Metazoa; Chordata; Mammalia; Primates; Hominidae. The record is from RNAcentral.